GCCCUAUUCCCUGCUUUCUACCAACCCCAAACAAAGAAACAGGUUGGUGGUUGCCCAUUGUCAUCUCAUGUUCGUACAAGCAAAUACAGAGCCCACAAAUUUACUGAACUGGGUGUAUGUCUUGCAGCUCUUAUUAGCAGGUUUAAUCCUUCCGUGCAGUAUUACUCUUCCCUUCGAAACAGCAGUGCAGUGCCAAGAAGUGGGACCCUAGAUCUCUUAGAUCAAGCAAAAGAAAUUGUGAAGAACAUGAAAGGGAGCCAGCAGACAGAUUACCAACGCGACUGGAAGCUCAUCACAAUUUUUCAUCCAUGUCCUUUCCAAGCUUCCAUCUCUCAG
Long non-coding RNA from Lacerta agilis (Sand lizard), 336 nucleotides. RefSeq lists it as uncharacterized. The transcript is spliced from 3 exons. The record is from RefSeq and is a predicted model, not a curated record. Lineage: Eukaryota; Metazoa; Chordata; Lepidosauria; Squamata; Lacertidae.